RNAcentral lists this transfer RNA (60 nucleotides) under Oxyrrhis marina. Lineage: Eukaryota; Dinophyceae; Oxyrrhinales; Oxyrrhinaceae. The record is from RNAcentral.
CGUGGCCUAGUGGUAAGCAAACCGGGCUGAUAACCUGGGGGGUCGUAGGUUCAAGCCCGG